RNAcentral lists this long non-coding RNA (685 nucleotides) under Mustela putorius furo (domestic ferret). RNAcentral describes it as "lncRNA (ENSMPUG00000024554.1)". Lineage: Eukaryota; Metazoa; Chordata; Mammalia; Carnivora; Mustelidae. The record is from RNAcentral.
UGGCAGCAGAGACAGGCAGGAGGGAAUUGGGGAGUGAUAAUAACGUUUUUUAUCUUGAUAGAGAUUCUGAUGAGUCCGCGUCACGGCACUGAACUUUUCCAGAAUAAUGUACCACGUUUCCGACUGAGAGAGGAAACAAAACAAGAUUCGGAAGGCUCCGAAUCUUGACGGCAACUUUGACAUUCAAGACCCCUGAGAAACAGCGUCUGCGCGCCCCAUGUUGCCCCUCCACGGACACACCCCUCGGACUUAGGUCAGUUGAAGGACGAAGUUUCGUGGAGCCAACAGAAGUACGAAAGGGUAAGUAUUCUGGCUUGGGUCUGUGUAACCCGUGAAAUAUAUUUAGUUCUGUAAGUCUGCAUCCAUUCAUUUAUCUAUCUAUAUCGUGUAUGUACCACACAUCCAAAAUGGUGUUUAUCUCAUUUCGUAGCAAAAAGCCACAGGGUUUGGAUAGUAGCACAGAGACAAGAUGGGACGGGGAGGGAGACAAACCAUAAGAGACUCUUAAUCUCAGGAAACCAACUGAGGGUUGCUGGGGGGUGGGGAGAGCAGUAGGAAGAGAGUGGUGGGGUUAUGGACACUGGGGAGGUUAUUUGCUAAGGUGAGUGCUGUGAAGUGUGUAAGCCUGACAGUUCACAGACCUGUACCCCCGGGGCAAAUAGUACAUUAUGUGUUAAUUUUUAAA